RNAcentral lists this ribosomal RNA (640 nucleotides) under fungal endophyte. Its description in RNAcentral is "eukaryotic LSU rRNA". The stretch from base 180 to 333 matches the Rfam family "5.8S ribosomal RNA". Lineage: Eukaryota; Fungi. The record is from RNAcentral.
UUAAAGAGUUCUAUAACUCCCAAACCCAUGUGAACAUACCUAACGUUGCCUCGGCAGGUCGCACCUACCUUGUAGCACCCUACCCUGUAGGGCCUACCCGGGAGGUGCGGGUAAGCCUGCCGGCGGCCCACCAAACUCUGUUUGAUAUUGAAUUCUGAACCUAUAACUAAAUAAGUUAAAACUUUCAACAACGGAUCUCUUGGUUCUGGCAUCGAUGAAGAACGCAGCGAAAUGCGAUAAGUAAUGUGAAUUGCAGAAUUCAGUGAAUCAUCGAAUCUUUGAACGCAUAUUGCGCCCAUUAGUAUUCUAGUGGGCAGGACCGUUCGAGCGUCAUUUCAACCCUUAAGCCUUCGUUGCUUAGUGUUGGGAGCCUACGGCAACGUAGCUCCUCAAAGUUAGUGGCGGAGUUGGUUCACACUCUAGACGUAGUAAUUUUUUAUCUCGCCUAUUAGUUGGACUAAUCCCCUGCCGUAAAACCCCUAAUUUAUCAAGGUUGACCUCGAAUCGGUUCAGACAAACUCGCUAAAUUGAAGCAUCUUAGUCAGCGAAGGAAAAGAAACCAACAGGGAUUGCCCUAGUAACGGCGAGUGAAGCGGCAACAGCUCAAAUUUGAAAUCUGGCCCUCGGGUCCGAGUUGUAA